UAGAGUCACCAAAGGGAAUCCCCGACCCCGGAUGGGUUUUGGAUCUGAUAAAUGCACGCGUCCCCGCCCGAGAGGGAGGGUCGGCGCUGGUUCGCAUGUAUUAGCUCUGGAAUUGCCACAGUUAUCCAAGUAGAGCGAUCAAAGGGACCAUAACUGAUUUAAUGAGCCAUUCGCAGUUUCACUGUACCGGCUGUGUGUACUUAGACCUGCAUGGCUUAAUCUUUGAGACAAGCAUAUGUUACUGGCAGGAUCAACCAGGCUCCCUUUCCGGAAUCGAACCCUGAUUCCCCGUUACCCGUGGUCACCAUGGUAGGCGCCGCAAAGGGCGCGCGAUCGGCCCGAGGUUAUCUAGAGUCACCAAAGGGACCGGGGCGGGGACGAAUCCCCGACCCCGGAUGGGUUUUGGAUCUGAUAAAUGCACGCGU
Sinocyclocheilus grahami is the source of this 425-nucleotide long non-coding RNA. RefSeq lists it as uncharacterized. The record is from RefSeq and is a predicted model, not a curated record. The transcript has 2 exons. Lineage: Eukaryota; Metazoa; Chordata; Actinopteri; Cypriniformes; Cyprinidae.